CAACAACAGCAGCAGCAA
This 18-nucleotide microRNA is filed under the name Drosophila melanogaster (fruit fly). RNAcentral describes it as "dme-miR-2491-3p". The record is from miRBase by way of RNAcentral. Lineage: Eukaryota; Metazoa; Arthropoda; Insecta; Diptera; Drosophilidae.